This 441-nucleotide ribosomal RNA is filed under the name uncultured bacterium. Its description in RNAcentral is "partial 16S ribosomal RNA". It matches the Rfam family "Bacterial small subunit ribosomal RNA", at positions 338 to 795 of the family's 1533-position model. The record is from RNAcentral.
CCUACGGGGAGCAGCAGUGGGGGAUAUUGCACAAUGGGGGGAACCCUGAUGCAGCGACGCCGCGUGGGUGAAGGAGUGCUUCGGCAUGUAAAGCACUAUCGGCAGGGAAGAAGCAAGACGGUACCUGACUAAGAAGCCCCGGCUAAAUACGUGCCAGCAGCCGCGGUAAUACGUAGGGGGCGAGCGUUAUCCGGAUUCACGGGGUGUAAAGGGAGCGUAGACGGCCAUGCAAGCCAGGGGUGAAAGCCCGGGGCCCAACCCCGGGACUGCCCUUGGAACUGGGCGGCUAGAGUGCGGGAGGGGCAGGCGGAAUUCCUGGUGUAGCGGUGAAAUGCGUAGAGAUCAGGAGGAACACCGGCGGCGAAGGCGGCCUGCUGGACUGCGACUGACGUUGAGGCUCGAAAGCGUGGGGAGCGAACAGGAUUAGAUACCCGAGUAGUC